CAGUCGCCGCGGUAAUACGAAGGGUGCAAGCGUUACUCGGAAUUACUGGGCGUAAAGCGUGCGUAGGUGGUGGUUUAAGUCCGUUGUGAAAGCCCUGGGCUCAACCUGGGAAUUGCAGUGGAUACUGGGUCACUAGAGUGUGGUAGAGGAUAGUGGAAUUUCCGGUGUAGCAGUGAAAUGCGUAGAGAUCGGAAGGAACAUCUGUGGCGAAGGCGACUAUCUGGGCCAACACUGACACUGAGGCACGAAAGCGUGGGGAGCAAACAGGAUUAGAUACCCGUGUAGUCCCUGUCUCUUAUAA
RNAcentral lists this ribosomal RNA (301 nucleotides) under uncultured bacterium. RNAcentral's name for it is "partial 16S ribosomal RNA". It matches the Rfam family "Bacterial small subunit ribosomal RNA", at positions 509 to 809 of the family's 1533-position model. The record is from RNAcentral.